AUAAUACUCCCUCCGUCUGGAAUUACUUGUCAUCAAAAUGGAUGUGUCUAGAACUAAAAUACAUCUAGAUACUUCCAUUUCAAUGACAAGUAUUUUCUGACGGAGGGAGUAGUAG
Non-coding RNA from Triticum aestivum (bread wheat), 115 nucleotides. The record is from Rfam. Lineage: Eukaryota; Viridiplantae; Streptophyta; Magnoliopsida; Poales; Poaceae.